CAAAGGUCAAAACUACGGUCUCAGUUGG
RNAcentral lists this small RNA (28 nucleotides) under Bombyx mori (domestic silkworm). RNAcentral's name for it is "ovarian small RNA-12751". The record is from RNAcentral. Lineage: Eukaryota; Metazoa; Arthropoda; Insecta; Lepidoptera; Bombycidae.